Molecule: long non-coding RNA, 418 nt
Organism: Helianthus annuus (common sunflower)
Lineage: Eukaryota; Viridiplantae; Streptophyta; Magnoliopsida; Asterales; Asteraceae
Exons: 2
Source: RefSeq, a predicted model, not a curated record
GAAUGUAGGUACAUAUGUAGAAGUGUAUUUAUGAAUAUAUGAAGAUACGUAUGAGUGUAGGCAUGUAUGUAUUGAGGUAUGGAUGUAUGCAAGAGUAUAUGUAAGUAUGAUUUUGGAUACGUUAAGUGUUAAUGAUAUUAAUCAUGUACCUGGAAAACGAAGAUUUACGCAGGUACAUUAUUGAAGACUCACAAGGGAAUGGAUACGCUAAUGAUAUGCUUAAAGUUGUACGAAUCACGGGUGGUUAUCACGAGGAAUAGAGCUCGAAGAGCGAGUCACAAGCUAGAUUGUACGGGAAUAACUGAAUAUGUAUUAUUAGUAAUCAGGGCUUAUGCUUUAUUUUUUUUUGUAAAAGAUGCAUAUUAAAACGUACUUUCAAGUAAGUCAUGACGUUAAUAAUGAAAGAAAUUUUAUGGCA